RNAcentral lists this ribosomal RNA (406 nucleotides) under uncultured bacterium. Its description in RNAcentral is "partial 16S ribosomal RNA". It matches the Rfam family "Bacterial small subunit ribosomal RNA", at positions 28 to 526 of the family's 1533-position model. The record is from RNAcentral.
GACGAACGCUGGCGGUGUGCUUCACACAUGCAAGUCGAACGAGUGGCGGACGGGUGAGUAACACGUGGGAAUCUACCAUUAGGUGGGGCAUAACAGGCCGAAAGGACUGCUACUGCCGCAUACCUUUUGAUGAUCCCGCGUCCGAUUAGCUAGUUGGGAGUGUAAAAGCCUACCAAGGCGACGAUCCCUAGCUGCUCUGAGAGGAUGACCAGCCACACUGGAACGGAGACACGGUCCAGACUCCUACGGGAGGCAGCAGUGGGGAAUAGUGCACAAUGGGCGCAAGCCUGAUGCAGCCCUGCCGCGUGUAUGAAGAAGGCCUUCGGGUUGUAAAGUACUUUCAGCGGGGAGGCGUUACCCGCAGAAGAAGCACCGGCUAACUCCGUGCCAGCAGCCGCGGUAAUAC